This is a long non-coding RNA of Lucilia cuprina (Australian sheep blowfly), 236 nucleotides long. RefSeq lists it as uncharacterized. The transcript is spliced from 3 exons. NCBI's taxonomy places the organism in Eukaryota, Metazoa, Arthropoda, Insecta, Diptera, Calliphoridae. The record is from RefSeq and is a predicted model, not a curated record.
CUUUCAUUUGUUAUCAUUUACUUCGGUCUCUAUAUGCUUAAUUUCACGUUUCUAGGUUCAAUAUUAUAGAAAUUUUAAAAAGUACCUUUUGAAGAACGAAAAAUACUAAAAAGUCCCCUUCUAUAGGUUAUCAUUUACUACGGUCUUUAUAUGCUUAAUUUCACGUUUCUAGGUUCAAUGUUAUAGAAAUUUCAAAAAGUACCUUUUGAAGAACGAAAAAGUACCAAAAAGUCUCC